Molecule: ribosomal RNA, 301 nt
Filed under: uncultured bacterium
Lineage: Bacteria
Description: partial 16S ribosomal RNA
Rfam family: Bacterial small subunit ribosomal RNA
Source: RNAcentral
CAGCAGCCGCGGUAAUACGAAGGGUGCGAGCGUUGUUCGGAAUUACUGGGCGUAAAGGGUUCGUAGGCGGAAUUGUAAGUUAGAUGUGAAAACUCUGGGCUCAACCUGGAACGUGCAUCUAAAACUACUUUUCUUGAGUGUUGGAGAGGGCAGUGGAAUUGCUGGUGUAGGAGUGACAUCCGUAGAGAUCAGCAGGAACACCGGAGGCGAAGGCGACUGCCUGGCCGAACACUGACGCUGAGGAACGAAAGCGUGGGAGCAAACAGGAUUAGAUACCCCCGUAGUCCCUGUCUCUUAUACA